GAUUUCUGGCUUGACGCGCUUGGCCCGCCUCGGUUACGAGUGUGAGUGCUGAUGCGCGUCUGCCAUCCUUUUGGAAAACGGCGUCUGGCUUCAUUGCUUUGACGUCGCGAUCCAGAUCUAUUACUUUGAAAAAAUUAGAGUGUUUAAAGCAGGCGUUUGCUGUGAAUACAUUAGCAUGGAAUAAUAAUCUAGGACUUUGGUUCUAUUUUGUUGGUUUCUAGGGCCGAAGUAAUGAUUGAUAGGGAUAGUUUGGGGUGCUAGUAUUCCGUGGCCAGAGGUGAAAUUCUUGGAUUCACGGAAGACUAACUUAUGCGAAAGCAUU
RNAcentral lists this ribosomal RNA (322 nucleotides) under uncultured Cryomonadida. RNAcentral's name for it is "SSU rRNA". The stretch from base 105 to 322 matches the Rfam family "Eukaryotic small subunit ribosomal RNA", at positions 736 to 955 of the family's 1831-position model. The record is from RNAcentral. Lineage: Eukaryota; Cercozoa; Thecofilosea.